GUACCCUAAGAAUAAGGUCCGGCUAACUUCGUGCCAGCAGCCGCGGUAAUACGAAGGGACCUAGCGUAGUUCGGAAUUACUGGCCGUAAAGCGCGCGUAGGCCGUUGAGUUAGUUAAUUGUGAAAUCCCAAAGCUUAACUUUGGAACUGCAAUUAAAACUGCUCGACUAGAGUUUGAUAGAGGAAAGC
RNAcentral lists this ribosomal RNA (188 nucleotides) under uncultured bacterium. Its description in RNAcentral is "partial 16S ribosomal RNA". It matches the Rfam family "Bacterial small subunit ribosomal RNA", at positions 475 to 662 of the family's 1533-position model. The record is from RNAcentral.